This 447-nucleotide ribosomal RNA is filed under the name uncultured bacterium. RNAcentral's name for it is "partial 16S ribosomal RNA". It matches the Rfam family "Bacterial small subunit ribosomal RNA", at positions 29 to 523 of the family's 1533-position model. The record is from RNAcentral.
AACGAACGCUGGCGGCAGGCCUAAAACAUGCAAGUCGAACGCCCCGCAAGGGGAGUGGCGCACGGGUGAGUAACGCGUGGGAACGUGCCCUUCACUACGGGACAACGUCGGGAAACUGACGCUAAUACCGUAUAAUGACUCCGGUCCAAAGAUUUAUCGGUGAAGGAGCGGCCCGCGUCUGAUUAGUUUGUUGGUGGGGUAAUGGCCUACCAAGACUACGAUCAGUAGCAGUUCUGAGAGGAUGAUCUGCCACACUGGGACGUGAGACACGCCCAGACGCCUGCGGGAGGCAGGAUUUAGGAAUAUUUGACAAUGGGCGAAAGCCUGAUCCCGCCAUGCCGCGUGUGUAAUGAAGGCCUUAGGGUUGUAUAGCACUUUCGUUGGGGAUGAUAAUGACCUUACCCAAAGAAGAAGCACCGGCUAACUUCGUGCCAGCCGCCGCCGUAA